CCAAGUCGAGCGAAUGGGAUUAAGAGCUUGCUCUUAUGAAGUUAGCGGCGGACGGGUGAGUAACACGUGGGUAACCUGCCCAUAAGACUGGGAUAACUCCGGGAAACCGGGGCUAAUACCGGAUAACAUUUUGAACCGCAUGGUUCGAAAUUGAAAGGCGGCUUCGGCUGUCACUUAUGGAUGGACCCGCGUCGCAUUAGCUAGUUGGUGAGGUAACGGCUCACCAAGGCAACGAUGCGUAGCCGACCUGAGAGGGUGAUCGGCCACACUGGGACUGAGACACGGCCCAGACUCCUACGGGAGGCAGCAGUAGGGAAUCUUCCGCAAUGGACGAGAGUCUGACGGAGCAACGCCGCGUGAGUGAUGAAGGCUUUCGGGUCGUAAAACUCUGUUGUUAGGGAAGAACAAGUGCUAGUUGAAUAAGCUGGCACCUUGACGGUACCUAACCAGAGAGCCACGGCUCACUACGUGCCAGCAGCCGCGGUAAUACGUAGGUGGCAAGCGUUAUCCGGAAUUAUUGGGCGUAAAGCGCGCGCAGGUGGUUUCUUAAGUCUGAUGUGAAAGCCCACGGCUCAACCGUGAAAGGUCAUUGGAAACUGGGAGACUUGAGUGCAGAGAGGAAAGGGAAUUCCCUGUGUUCCGGUAAAUGCGUGAAAGUAUGGAAGAAGACAAUGGGA
RNAcentral lists this ribosomal RNA (677 nucleotides) under Bacillus tropicus. RNAcentral's name for it is "bacterial SSU rRNA". It matches the Rfam family "Bacterial small subunit ribosomal RNA", at positions 57 to 716 of the family's 1533-position model. Lineage: Bacteria; Bacillati; Bacillota; Bacilli; Caryophanales; Bacillaceae. The record is from RNAcentral.